UAGUUAUAAACUUUGAUAUAUCCGCCAGAAUACUACGAGCAACAGCUUAAAACUCAAAGGACUUGGCGGUGCUCUACACCCCCCUAGAGGAGCCUGUUCUAUAAUCGAUAAUCCACGAUAAACCUCACCACCCAUUGCCAAUACAGCUUAUAUACCACCGUCCAGCCCACCCUUUAAAGGGCCAACAGUAGGCAUAAUCAUAGACAUAAAAACGUCAGGUCAAGGUGUAGCAUAUGGGGUGGGAAGAAAUGGGCUACAUUUUCUAAUUUAGAAAAUUACGGAAAAGCUCAUGAAAUAAAGCUAUAAAGGAGGAUUUAGCAGUAAAAAGAAAAAAGAGUGUUCUUUUUAAACCG
This 353-nucleotide ribosomal RNA is filed under the name Paramesotriton chinensis (Chinese warty newt). RNAcentral describes it as "partial 12S ribosomal RNA". It matches the Rfam family "Bacterial small subunit ribosomal RNA", at positions 848 to 1370 of the family's 1533-position model. The record is from RNAcentral. Lineage: Eukaryota; Metazoa; Chordata; Amphibia; Caudata; Salamandridae.